This is a long non-coding RNA of Corvus hawaiiensis (hawaiian crow), 7243 nucleotides long. RefSeq lists it as uncharacterized. The record is from RefSeq and is a predicted model, not a curated record. The transcript is spliced from 9 exons. NCBI's taxonomy places the organism in Eukaryota, Metazoa, Chordata, Aves, Passeriformes, Corvidae.
GCCUGGUGUUGGUGCUGGAGCUGGGGGCUCACAGGGGAUCUCCGGUUCUGCUGUUGCUGCUGCUGCUGCUGCUGAGAUGUGACCCUGAAGGAGUACAGAGUGCCUGAAACAGUAUGAAAAAGGAUAUGUAGAAGAUCUUAGAAGUACAGAUGUGGAUGGUGACUGAACUGCUGCUGUAAACUUGUACCCAGGAUCAUUGUGACGGAAUCUGAGUCAGGACUUUGAGACAUUGUCUAAGCCAUCCUCUGAGGCGGAUUUAGACUCUUUCAGCAAAUGUUCUUCUCCCUGAGUAAUGUUAACUGAUUACUGCCUGUUUGGAGAAGUAUUUAUUCUCUCUGCCAGUUGGACACAUUCCUCUUGCUGUGUGACCAGAAUCCCAGUUUAUUUGCAAUAUUAACUGCAUUGCACUUCAGAGGAGCCUGCAAGAGAUGAGAUUGUCUAUAAGCCCAGCUGACAUUGGACCCACCACCUGCAAAAGCAAUGCAGCCCAUCAUUUCCAGUUAGGACCCAUCCUAGUCAUAUAUUCUGCAGCCUGCAUACUUGAUUAUUGGAACAACAUUCAUCCUGGCUUCAAAGCAGAAUCUGGAAAAACUGCAGCUGGCUGAUGCAACCACCUGCUUCCUUUGCAGCAGUUCUCAGAAAACAUCAAUCCAUGUACAAUCAAUCCAGGCACUUUGCUGGCUCCCUAAUGAUCUGUGAGUCUAUUUUCAGGGCCUUGUGCUGGGUUCUCAGAAGCACUUAUGUGAGUUGGGGAAAUGUCAGCGAUGUCUGCAGGGUCUUGAUGGUCUCCUCCUCGGACUCCAGCUCCUACCACCUCAAGAGGAUUAGAUCUAUGGGAAACUCUGCAGCACUGGCACCAUCCCCACAUCUCAAGGAGUAAUUCAACAGUUGUUGAACCAGAAAGAAAGCAAGCCUUGAUGGGAUUCUCUUGCCUGAUAAGACCUGCAUUUGCUUGGGUAAAGGGAGAUGUGGGCUUGCCUCCUUCUCCAAGGCUUCUUUAUGCAACAAGUGAAAAAUUUUGAGACUUUAAGUUACUGCAAUCAUUCAUUGAGGCAAUGUACAAAGCUGCCAAUUUGAAAACAAGACUUUGCUCAGUAGCAGAAGAAAAUGAAAAAUUCAAGAAAAGCACCUUGCCUGUGACACACCCUGGGAUGAACUGCACUUUUCAGUGGAAGAAACAAGAGGAAGAAAACUCCAGAGAAAUUGCAAGAUCCAUUUGUAACAAACAUAAUAAAUAUCAAUAAAUUGCAUGGUCAGAAAUAGCACCGACAAUAAACAGGAUGUGGUAACUGGAAUGAGCAUAUAAAGCAAUGCUCAUCAAAUGAUCAGAUUUGCAGGGGGACAAGAGUAUUUGUAUUUUUAAAAAUGCUUUUUGGCUGUCAGUUCCCUGGAAGAAGUUUCUGGUUGGCACCAAAAUUUCAUGAAGGAGUUGGACAGGCAGAAAUGUGAACCACUCUUAUACUUGGAAAUCUAGAAAUGUAUGAAUUCUUUGGCAGGCUCUGGAUGCUGCAGAACAGGCCCUACAUUCACCUAAUAAAGCAACACUUGCUACAUCUGUAUGCCUUUUGGUAAGAAAGAUAAUGAAAAUGUGAGGAAUUUGUGUCCUUGAGUUCACACGUCUUAUGAAUGUUUAUAAGAGCAAAUAUUUAUUAAUUUAGGAUGGCUGUUUUAAGGAUGUGUUGCAACUUGUUGUUACCUUGGAAAUCACCCAGUCAAAAUCAUCAGGAAUUUUUCAAAUAUCUAGUCAUUGGAUAUUUUGCAUAAACAAACUGAGUAACUUCAGAGAAUGGACAGUCUUGGAUAACUCAGAAAAGGUGGCUGAAUAUUUCAAAUAUUUUACUACAAAUAAUUCAUUGUAGACUAGCAGAAUUAAUGUCAAAUCCAGCUAGUUGCACAAUAAUUGAGGAUUCAUAAAAUGUUUCUGGGAAUCACCAUGUAAUUACCAUUGUCUCCAGUGGUGGUACAGGAAAAUAAUAUGCAAUAUUUCAAGAUAUUUAAUUAAGAAGUGUCAGUGAGUUACCUUGAAGAUAACUUCUAUCACCCCCAUAUGACAGGCUUGUGUAUGACUAGAUGAUGGAUGAGUCCUCUCAGUAUGAAAGACAGAUGAACUGAGGAACAUCAACAUGAUAUGCAGAACUCAGGAUGAUGAAGUAUAUAUAAUUGUUAUUUACUCUUUAAAGGUGACCUACAAAUACAAUGCUUUAUGGUUAGUUUUCUUGUCUUCUUUAUAAUGCAAUAAAAACUCUAAAAAGUUCUCCAGUAGAAACUGUACUUUUCUUUUUCCUUAGAAAUUCUUGUCCAUUUUGUUUUUCCCCAAAGACCUCUGAUCCAUGAGGGAAGUAACAGGUUUAUGGUAUCAGAUAUCAAGGAAAAAAAGAUGUUUGUGUGAGGGUAAUUUCUUCUGUGGUCUGCUUUGGAUGUGGGAGCUGUUAUGAAUUCAUGUGUGGUUUACUAGUAAUGUCAAAGCAAAAACCAACAUCCCUGUCUUGGGAAUUGCAGAAAAAAACUUGUAGCCUUCAUGAUGAAAAUGUAAUAUGAGAUCAGGGACAAAACGGAAUAGAGAAUUUAAAGAAAGAUGGGUCUCCUCAUAGUUAUUUCUUUCAAAGGAAUUAAGGAACUACCAGUUUAUGUUAUUUAGCAUAAACAAUGGACUGUGUUCCUUGCUCAAGUAACUGCUCUCUUACAUUCUGUGGGCUGCGCUACCUUACUUUUGACUAACUGCAGUUUUUCUCACUGUCACCACACAGCUGACUUGAUCACAGCCUUCAGUUUGGGAAUCCUUGCUUUUUACUCUGACUCUUGCUUACCGGCCCAUUUGUCUUCUACUCUAUCAGUGCCCUUCUCUGUGGACCCUAAGGUGAUAAUUACAUUAGCUGUACUUCAUCACAAGCUUGUUCGGGCUUGACAGUUGAUUUUGGCUGACUAUAAUCAGCCUUGUCCCCACUUGUCAUUGUCCCUUUGUGCAGUGGUUGAACAUGACUCUUUCUACAUUAGCAAGCACUGUGCUCCAUUAGGAGUGGAUCUGCUGAGUGAAAUAACCUGCACUGACCUCUGUGCUACGUGCGGUUUUGGGGACUUUGUGCUAGUUACAGCCUGGUCUUGUAGGCUGAACGCUCGUUAGUGGCUGAAACACAUCUUUGGGUUUGUCUUCAUCUGAAAGAGGUCUGGUUCGUGUGCUCUGAGACAGGUCUCUUGUGGAAAUCACAGCAUAUAAUGGGGAAAGGUUUGGGAGAUUUAAAAAUGCAUUUCUGACCAUCAGUGCUGAGGAAGGUACCUUUGCUGCUUGCUGAUAUACCCAGUGUAGUACUUCUUCACCUGGUCUAAAAUGAGACAGGAUUCCUAGGGUUUCCCUGUGUUAAAAGGUAGGUGGAAAUAUUUUUGUGGUUUUUCUACAACUAAACCUUCUCUUCCUGUGCUCAGUUAGCAGAGGAUAUGUGCUCUUUUUCCUUAGUGUGUGCAUCCUGAUGAAGUGUAAUCUGGGUUUAUUCCUAUGGAAGUAUCUCAGUGGGAUAUCCAGCUGACUUCAGUGGAUCAUCUCAAAACUAGAACAGGUCAAUUUUUAUGGCUUGCUUUGACAUAUGAUGGAGGAGACUGCAUAGGCUGAAUGUUUACUCCCAUAUUUUCUUGGGACAAGGAUCAUCGGGAAGACCUGUAAGCUGUUUCCUGACAGGAGAUUGAGAGAAAAUGAACUGUUAACAAGAAUGUUGCCUGCUGCCUGAAUUGCCCUAAUUCAUGAAGGGACAUAAAGCUUAGACAAAAAUUUAUGGUGCCUUAGGCCUUGGAAUGGCUCAGUUGUUUAACAGCAUAUUUGUGUUCAUGCAAGCACAGAUCUGGGCUGAACCAGAGCAUUGGCUGGAGCGCUGCCAUGGAUGGAUAGGGGCUCUUCAGGAAGGACCAUCCCGGGGGAUGGAGGGAAUUCUGUCUGAGAGCAGCAGGGAUGCACAGAGCUCUGCCCUGGCAUGGAUGAUGAGACAGCUCAGAACUUGCAAGUUAGGAUUAGCAGGAAUAAUAAUGUGGGUGUUUUUGAGCGGGGUGCCUGCUAGUGCCAGCCUGACUGAGAAGAACAGAAGAAGCCUUCUGCAGACAGCUGGAAGAAGUCUUGUGUUUGCAUGCCCUGGUACUCAUGGAAGACUCCAACCACCCUGAUAUCUGCUGGACACAACACAGCAGGACACAAGUAAUCUGGGAGGUCUCUGGAGCGCAGGGAUGGUGACUUCCUGAUGUGACUGGUAGAAGAGCCAACAAAGGGAGACACCCUGACAGACCUGAUACUUACAAACAUGAAAGUUGUGGGCAACCUUGUCUUCAGUGACCAUGAGCUGUGGAAUUCAGGGUUGUGAGAGGUGGGAGAAGUGCCAAGAUCAGUAUCACAAUUCUGAACUUCAUAACAGAUUUUGUCUUGUUCAAAGACCUAUUUGGAAGGGUCCCAUGGGACAUGGUACUGAAUACAUGAGCAGUCCCUAAGGGCUGGUUGAUUUUCAAGAUCACCUCCUCCAAGCUCAAGAAUGGUCCAGCCUGACAAGCAGGGACGAAAGCAAAAGUAGUAGAAGGGCUUCAUGGAUGAACAAGAAGAGCAAGGAAGCCUUAUCCUCAUUGAAGGAGGAGUGGGGCAGAGAAUAUUUAAACAAAUUGUGCAUGCACAAAUUCUUAGACUGAAGGAAUUUGAACAAUCUCCCUGUAGAAAGAGGAUUCUCUGUUACGAGCAGCUCUUCCACCUUUUUGUGACAUGUGAAUUUAGUUUUUUUCUUCUGAAAAGAAAAAUCAACUGAAAGCUGAUUUACUUUUCUCAAUAUAGCCACUUCUCUAACCUUGCAAACACAUUUCAUAGCUGCAAGGUGAUAGUAAAACUGUUUAGAGCUCAGUUUAAAACAAACAAACAAAUACGCAUCUGGGCAAGAUAUAGAAACAAUAUUUGUAAACAAUUGAAUACACUAAGUAAUCUUAAGACAAAGUAAAUAGUUUAUGAGAUGUACAUAGUUAACUACUAUCUACUAAAACUAUUAUCAAGAAUAAACCACAAACAAGGGAAAAGGGCAAUAGACGAGAGUAUAUCCUCAAUGAUAAUUUGACUGGCCCUACAGUUCAACAUUUCUUAGGGCCAUAUUGACAUAUUUAUAAGAUAAACAUUAUAUUUACAAAAAAUGAUUAUAAAAAACCCCUGAAAGCGGUCCUGAAACUGUAUCAUUUGUCAUGUUUUAUUUUUUUGUGUAUCAGAAUCUGUUAAUUAACUGCACUGUUAUAUUUUUGUGAGAGAUAUCAAUUUAUCCAAGCUGCUGUUCCAUUUCAAAAGAUCUCAGAAUAAGAUUCUUCACCUAUUCAGUUGAAAGCUCACUAUCCCACAGAGCCAUUUUUUAAUCACUUCAAUGCAUACCUCCUUAGAGAGUAGAAAGUGUUCUUGACUUUAUUAAAAUACAUUUUGUCUUCCAAACUGAAAACUAAUCCAGAUUCAGAGUCAAAAGAUCAUCAUGCUCAGUUCUAAAAGAUUUUUUAAUUUUUUUGUUUUGGUGUUAAUAAACCUUGAAAGUUUGCAUAUUGUUGCUAGUGUAUACUUUGAUCAGUGGAUUUGAAAUGCAAGCUCUUUGGCCGUGGCCCUUAUUUUCAUUACAUUCAGGCAGCACUGAAUACAGUGGAGACCAAACUCAUUCAGAGGCCUCUUAAUGCCAACAGCAAUAUAUAACAAUUAUAGAAAGAAUAUUAACAAGCACACAUGUUUUAGUGAGAUUUUUUUUUAAAUUUCUGUCCCUUACUUGCCCUGUGAUUUUUGACCUGAGGUCCUCUGUAAGAACUGAACAGGAUUUUCUAAAUAUUAUUGUGUCUUCCUGAAAAAUGUGUUUCUAAGUUGAGUUUGGUGAUAUAAAUGUCCUCUUCCCAGCUGCAGAUAUCUCUGUCCAGAGAUGUUUGCUUUUCAUGUACCAAUAAGAUAGUUUUUUCCCAUAUGAUUGAGCAGGUCUGUGAGCAGCACAAUAAAGGAGACAAACAUGAGGGUGCUGCAGCCGGCCAUAAUCCUAUCCUCCUCUCCUGACCUCUGUUAGAUGGUUUUGAAGUUAUUCAACACAGCUUUACUCCUGGAUCUGCUGUAAAAGUCUGCUUGGUGAAAAAUUAGAAAAAAAAACUUGAGGAAAAAAAACAAACGUGAAAAAACUUGUAAAUACAAGUCUUCAUGCCACUCUUUUUCUCCACCCAGUAGAGUGGUUCAAAAUGUGGAGAAGCCUGGUUAGGGAGUGAUCAGCGACUGGAAAGUGGCAUUGGUGCCUGCUUUCUUGAAUUCAGGACAACAAAAUGCAGAACAAAGAUGCUCUGAGCAUGCAUAGCCUGCCUGCUUCCAGCUUUGGUGGAUACUGAGCUCCUCAGUAGCUGUAGGAGCUGUAGCAGCUGGGAAGUUUAGUAGCAGUUAUUCAAGCUAAAGAUGUUCUCACUGUUUUACUGGCUUGGCUCUUAACUUGUUUCCAAAACCUACAAAUGUAUAUUAUAUCUUGAGAAACUAUAGCAAUUGUUUUGGGUUCUGGUUUUGUUUUCUUGCAGACUACAAAGAGCAUUAUUUUAAUAGAGUUCUGUUUUACAUUAGAACUUCAUUAAAAUGUAUUUUUUCUAUCCUGGCAUAGUGCUUCUGAUAACUGACAUCCAAAAACUCACCUCACCCAAAUGAAAGAUUGAUCUGAUCCCCAUUUUCAGGAAAAGAUAUAAUGAGUGAUCAAUUGUGGCUUGAAAACUUGGAUAGCAGGUUCCAAAAUGAGCAGUAUUUAUGGCUGUUUUAUAAGCACUUAAAAAAUAGGACAGAAAUACCAAUAUAGCCUUGACUACCAAAGUGACUUUAUAAAAUCUCCAUUUAAAUUAUAAUGUCUUGAAUUUAAUGCACUUUAAUGUUUUUAAUUUUGAAUUAGGAAGGAAAAGGAAUUCAUGACAUUUGCACUGUGUGACUCUGCUAUGUGGAAACUCACAGCAUCUCAUAAUGGCUUAGACGGCAAUAAUAAAUAAACAAAAUGGGCCUUAGGCUAUUUUUUUUCUCAUUUGUAUGCACAAAGAUGUCACCAAAGUCGCCUGUUUUCUCUCUGUAAUGGUAACACAGUCCUUGUUUAAACUAUGGUUGUUAUAAAAGUCAGUUACCAUUAUCUUCCUAAUAGUUUUUAUCAUAUGGUUGCACUUCUGAAUCCACAGUAUCUCUUCUGCUUGCUGUUGAGAUGUAGUUGGAAAUUUGGACACAAGUGGGUAUUUACCCAUUUAAUAAAGAAAUGUAUAAAAAACC